Chenopodium quinoa (quinoa) is the source of this 676-nucleotide long non-coding RNA. RefSeq lists it as uncharacterized. The record is from RefSeq and is a predicted model, not a curated record. NCBI's taxonomy places the organism in Eukaryota, Viridiplantae, Streptophyta, Magnoliopsida, Caryophyllales, Amaranthaceae. The transcript has 2 exons.
UUGAGUGAUUUUAAGGGUGGAAAUUUGAAAGAUAGUCUUAGAAGGCAACGACUUCUAAGUUUGAUUUUAGGAGUAACGAUCCCAAAACCCUAGUUAACAACUAGUUUGAACCUUAACAAAGUUCUCUUCAAGCAAAAGCUCAAUAAUCUCAAAUUAUAAUUCAUAAAACAUCUUGUUAAAAUAAUUGACAUACAACUAGUAUAUAUAGGAAAAAUAAAUCUAUCCUACUUGCCCUGCAAGCAAACUAAAUAAAAAGCCCUAAUAAUUAAUUAAUGAACCAAGAGAGCCCACUAAUUAAUUAACACAACUUUGGAAGCCCAAGGCCCCAUAACUACUACUAAGAAAAUAAUAAAAACAUUAUUAAAAACUCACUUGUAAAACCCCUACUUUAAGAGUAAGGCAAAACCAAGAGAGUACCUAAAUAAAGCAAUAAAAAUAGUUAUAAGGAAGGGGACUCGAUUCACAUCAUUAGAGUCGGGAGAGUCUUGGGAAAGGAAUACCUAUUGUGUCUUUCUCCAUUGGUGACUCUGCAGAAUUUUUAUAUGGUGAUCAGGCAGAUGCUGAAAAGGCUGAUAAGAUUAAAUUAGAAUCUGGAGAUGUUCUAAUAUUCGGAGAGCUUUCUCUAACCCCCCACUAAAGCAAAAUAACUUUCCUCUCCAUUGAAGUAACUUGAAAG